CCUACGGGUGGCAGCAGUGGGGAAUAUUGGACAAUGGGCGAAAGCCUGAUCCAGCCAUGCCGCGUGUGUGAAGAAGGCCUUCGGGUUGUAAAGCACUUUCAGUGGGGAAGAAAGCCUUGGGGCUAAUACCCUCGAGGAAGGACAUCACCCACAGAAGAAGCACCGGCUAACUCCGUGCCAGCAGCCGCGGUAAUACGGAGGGUGCGAGCGUUAAUCGGAAUUACUGGGCGUAAAGCGCGCGUAGGCGGUCUGAUAAGCCAGUUGUGAAAGCCCCGGGCUCAACCUGGGAACGGCAUCCGGAACUGUCAGGCUAGAGUGCAGGAGAGGAAGGUAGAAUUCCCGGUGUAGCGGUGAAAUGCGUAGAGAUCGGGAGGAAUACCAGUGGCGAAGGCGGCCUUCUGGACUGACACUGACGCUGAGGUGCGAAAGCGUGGGUAGCAAACAGGAUUAGAUACCCGAGUAGUC
Molecule: ribosomal RNA, 465 nt
Filed under: Vreelandella stevensii
Lineage: Bacteria; Pseudomonadati; Pseudomonadota; Gammaproteobacteria; Oceanospirillales; Halomonadaceae
Description: partial 16S ribosomal RNA
Rfam family: Bacterial small subunit ribosomal RNA
Source: RNAcentral